This 406-nucleotide ribosomal RNA is filed under the name uncultured bacterium. Its description in RNAcentral is "partial 16S ribosomal RNA". It matches the Rfam family "Bacterial small subunit ribosomal RNA", at positions 30 to 526 of the family's 1533-position model. The record is from RNAcentral.
AUUGAACGCUGGCGGCAGGCUUAACACAUGCAAUUCGAGCGCGCGGCGGACGGGUGAGUAAUGUCUGGGAAACUGCCUGAUGGAGGGGGAUAAAUACUGGAAACGGUAGCUAAUACCGCAUACCAUCAGAUGUGCCCAGAUGGGAUUAGCUAGUAGGUGGGGUAAUGGCUCACCUAGGCAACGAUCCCUAGCUGGUCUGAGCGGAUUACCAGCCACACUGGAACGGAGACACGGUCCAGACUCCUACGUGAGGCAGCGGUGGGGAAUUUUGCAAAAUGGGCGCAAGCCUUAUGCAGCAAGGCCGCGUGUGUGAAGAAGGCCUUCGGGUUGUAAAGCACUUUCAGCGAGGAGGCGUUACUCGCAGAAGAAGCACCGGCUAACUCCGUGCCAGUAGCCGCGGUAAUUC